UGGGGAAUAUUGCACAAUGGGCGAAAGCCUGAUGCAGCAACGCCGCGUGAGGGAAGACGGUUUUCGGAUUGUAAACCUCUGUUUUCGGUGACGAACAAAUGACGGUAACCGAGUAGGAAGCCACGGCUAACUACGUGCCAGCAGCCGCGGUAAUACGUAGGUGGCAAGCGUUGUCCGGAAUUACUGGGUGUAAAGGGAGCGCAGGCGGGAGAGCAAGUCAGUGGUGAAAUGCAUGGGCUUAACCCAUGAACUGCCAUUGAAACUGUUUUUCUUGAGUGGAUCAGAGGCAAGCGGAAUUCCGAGUGUAGCGGUGAAAUGCGUAGAUAUUCGGAGGAACACCAGUGGCGAAGGCGGCUUGCUGGGGGUCUAACUGACGCUGAGGCUCGAAAGUGUGGGGAGCAAACAGGAUUAGAUACCCUGGUAGU
This 425-nucleotide ribosomal RNA is filed under the name uncultured Eubacterium sp. RNAcentral's name for it is "bacterial SSU rRNA". It matches the Rfam family "Bacterial small subunit ribosomal RNA", at positions 355 to 794 of the family's 1533-position model. Lineage: Bacteria; Bacillati; Bacillota; Clostridia; Eubacteriales; Eubacteriaceae. The record is from RNAcentral.